This 2130-nucleotide ribosomal RNA is filed under the name Cyathus pallidus. RNAcentral describes it as "small subunit ribosomal RNA". The stretch from base 1 to 1845 matches the Rfam family "Bacterial small subunit ribosomal RNA". Lineage: Eukaryota; Fungi; Basidiomycota; Agaricomycetes; Agaricales; Nidulariaceae. The record is from RNAcentral.
CAAGAUAAGAAUUUAAUUUUGGUUCAGAAUGAACGUUAUUCAGUAGUUUAAGACAUGCAAAUCGUUAUUACCUAUAAUCUAUUUUAGAAAAAAGAAUAUUUUAUAUUCUCUAAACUAAACAUAGCUCUGAAAGGAAUAAGGUGUACAGGUGAGUAAUGAUAAAUAUGAUACCUUAUAGUCUCAGUAGAUUAGGGAUAGUUAAGUAAGAAAUAAGAAAGUGUUAAAAGUACAAGGUCUAUCCUAACUGGUUUCGGCCGGAAAUAAUAGGUCUAGUAACAGAUCACUACACUUAAGUCUGAAAGACAAUAACUCAGAUAAACCUCAAAAUGAGAAAACGUCAAGUAAAUGGGAGGUGCUAGCCAAAUUAGUCAAGUAUGACAAAAAGUCUAGCUAAAUGAUUAUAAAAAGGAAUUUUUCCGCUAUAAGAUUCGAUUUAUUUUGUUUAAAGGUAGUUGGUUGGGUAAAAGCCUACCAAGCCUACGAUCAAUAGCCACGCUUAAAUGAGCCUCUGGCCACAUUGGGUCUGAAAAGCCCCAAGUAGAAUUAGCUACCAGCAGUCAAGAAUAUUAGUCAAUGCUCGCAAGAGUGAACUAGCUAACUGAAGUAGUCGAGAUUAGAAUUAAAAAAUAGUUCUUUCCCGAUUAAAAGAUAGCAUAUAACAAUGAUAGAACUAUCUUAAAGUGUUGUCCAAAGCACUGGUGCCAGAAGACUCGGUAAGGCCAGAAACGCGAACGUUAUUCGUCCUGAACAGGCGUAAAGGGUAAGUAGGCGGUUUUUUCACACAAAAAACUAGAAUCUAGAGGAGGAUAAUUAAAAUAAUACCUAGUUUAGGGGUAAUAUCCGCAUAGACUGGGUGGAGUACUAAAGGUGAAAGCUUUUUAUCUAACAAAAGAUUGACGCUCAGAUACGAAGGUGAGGGCAUGGAAUAGGAUUAGAUACCCAGAUACUCCUCACAGUCAAAUAUGAAUGGUAAUCGGUAUUCUCACGGAGGGUACUGGUGCAGUUAUCGCAGAAACCAUUCCGCCUUGCGAGUACGGUUGCAAAACUGAAAGCAAAAAAAUUAGUCGGUCUCGGAGCAAACGGAGUGAAGCAUGUAGAUUAAUACGAUAGUCCGCGUAAAAUCUUACCAGAUCUUGAAUAGCCAUUGAAACUCAUAUACAGGGCCUAACUAUCUGAACUGAUAAUAAGGCUAGGCUUAUCUUUACGACCCUUAGUCGCAUAGAUAAGCUUAUAAUAUUAACGUAUUAUAAUCACUAUGAGUGAAAAUGAGACAUAAUUUAAAAAUAUCAACUAAUACUAAGUUAAGUAACAAAGUAUUAGCAUAAAUUAGAUUGUGCGUUUACAGGUGUUGCAUGGCUGUCGUCAGUUCGUGUUUUGAGAAGUUAGGUUAAUUCCACUAACGGGCGAAAUCCCUGUUGCUAAUUAAAUCUUAGCAAACUUACGAUUGAUGAGAUUGUAAUUUUGGGGCUAAGACAAGUCAUUAUGGCCCUUAUGUUCUGGGCUUCUCAUGUGCCACAAAAGCUUUUACAAAGUGAUGCAAAAACCUAGCCUACAAAAAUGGAAAAUCUAAACCUAAAAAUUUGAGAUUAACAUUUUUACCGUUGAAAAUUUAAUAAAAUAAAUCUAACAAAGGAGGUAUAAAGGCAAAGCUAAUCAUUAAAGAAAGCUAGUUUAAUAAAAAAAAUAGCAGAUUGUCUCCUGUAACUCGGGGGCAUGAAGAAGGAAUUUCGAGUAAUCGUUGAUCACUACGCAACGGUGAACUUUUAAUCCGAGAUGAACUAACUGUCUGUCGCUGGGAAGGAGCUUGUAUGAUCGUAGUUGGGCAGAGGCUUGUUUAUCACCUUCUAAUUAAAAAUAAGAUAAUUCAACCUUAUUAAUUUGAAUUUGGCACGACCGCAAGACUUUAGUCGAGCGCGUCGGUUUUUUGUUUUGUUUGUUUUUAAGGUUUUAUCUUUAGAAUUUUAGUAAUUCUUAUAAACAGAAGUCUCUAUUUAUAAAGUAAAAAGUAUAAAUAGUAGAAAACCGCUUAGAAGCAAUUAACUUGAAGAGUUUGGCGAUAUUGUAUGAGUAACAUCUCAAAAGUCAUAGCAAGGUAGCCGUACUGGAAAGUGCUGCUGGAAAAUAAAAGAA